This 253-nucleotide ribosomal RNA is filed under the name uncultured bacterium. RNAcentral's name for it is "partial 16S ribosomal RNA". It matches the Rfam family "Bacterial small subunit ribosomal RNA", at positions 524 to 776 of the family's 1533-position model. The record is from RNAcentral.
UACGUAGGGACCAAGCGUUGUUCGGAUUUACUGGGCGUAAAGGGCGCGUAGGCGGCGCGGUAAGUCACUUGUGAAAUCUCUGAGCUUAACUCCGAACGGCCAAGUGAUACUGCAGUGCUAGAGUGUGGGAGAGGCAUAUGGAAUGCCCGGUGUAGCGGUAAAAUGCGUUAAUAUCGGGUAGAACACCAAAGGCGAAAGCAAUAUGCUGGAGCACAACUGACGCUCAUGAACGAAAGCGUGGGUAGCGAAAGGG